AUUGAACGCUGGCGGCAUGCCUUACACAUGCAAGUCGAACGGCAGCACGGGUGCUUGCACCUGGUGGCGAGUGGCGAACGGGUGAGUAAUACAUCGGAACGUACCUUAUCGUGGGGGAUAACGCAGCGAAAGCUGUGCUAAUACCGCAUACGCCCUGAGGGGGAAAGCGGGGGAUCGAAAGACCUCGCGCGAUUAGAGCGGCCGAUGCCUGAUUAGCUUGUUGGUGGGGUAAAAGCCCACCAAGGCGACGAUCAGUAGCUGGUCUGAGAGGACGAUCAGCCACACUGGGACGGAGACACGGCCCAGACUGCGACGGGAGGCAGCAGUGGGGAAUGUUGGACAAUGGGGGCAACCCUGAUCCAGCAAUGCCGCGUGAGUGAAGAAGGCCUUCGGGUUGUAAAGCUCCUUUGUCAGGGAAGAAACACCGGCUCUAACACAGUCCGGGAAUGACGGUACCUGAAGAAUAAGCACCGGCUAACUACGUGCCAGCCGCCGCGGUAA
Molecule: ribosomal RNA, 501 nt
Filed under: uncultured bacterium
Lineage: Bacteria
Description: partial 16S ribosomal RNA
Rfam family: Bacterial small subunit ribosomal RNA
Source: RNAcentral